UGCAAGUCGAACGAGGUCCAUGGAGCUUGCUCCGGAAGACCUAGUGGCGAACGGGUGCGUAACACGUGAGAAAUCUGCCCCGAACUCUGGGAUAACAGUUGGAAACGACUGCUAAUACCGGAUGCCUUCACAUGACCGCAUGGUCGAGUGAAGAAAGAUUUAUCGGUUUGGGAGGAUCUCGCGGCCUAUCAGCUAGUUGGAGAGGUAACGGCUCACCAAGGCAUCGACGGGUAGCUGGUCUGAGAGGAUGAUCAGCCACACUGGAACUGAGACACGGUCCAGACUCCUACGGGAGGCAGCAGUGGGGAAUCUUGCACAAUGGGCGCAAGCCUGAUGCAGCGAUGCCGCGUGCGGGAAGAAGGCCCUAGGGUUGUAAACCGCUUUCAGUAGGGAAGAAAAUGACGGUACCUACAGAAGAAGGUGCGGCCAACUACGUGCCAGCAGCCGCGGUGACACGUAGGCACCAAGCGUUAUCCGGAUUUAUUGGGCGUAAAGAGCUCGUAGGCGGUUUGGUAAGUCGGGUGUGAAAACUCUGGGCUCAACCCAGAGAGGCCACUCGAUACUGCUAUGACUAGAGUACGGUAGGGGAGCGGGGGAAUUCCUGGGUGUAGCGGUGAAAUGCGCAGAUAUCAGGAGGAACACCAGUGGCGAAGGCGCCGCUCUGGGCCGUAACUGACGCUGAGGAGCGAAAGCAUGGGUAGCAAACAGGAUUAGAUACCCUGGUAGUCCAUGCCGUAAA
Molecule: ribosomal RNA, 739 nt
Filed under: uncultured Actinomycetes bacterium
Lineage: Bacteria; Bacillati; Actinomycetota; Actinomycetes
Description: bacterial SSU rRNA
Rfam family: Bacterial small subunit ribosomal RNA
Source: RNAcentral